Molecule: ribosomal RNA, 253 nt
Filed under: uncultured bacterium
Lineage: Bacteria
Description: partial 16S ribosomal RNA
Rfam family: Bacterial small subunit ribosomal RNA
Source: RNAcentral
UACGAAGGGGGCUAGCGUUGCUCGGAAUCACUGGGCGUAAAGGGUGCGUAGGCGGGUCUUUAAGUCAGGGGGGAAAUCCUGGAGCUCAACUCCAGAACUGCCUUUGAUACUGGGGAUCUCGAGUCCGGGAGAGGUGAGUGGAACUCCGAGUGUAGAGGUGAAAUUCGUAGAUAUUCGGAAGAACACCAGUGGCGAAGGCGGCUCACUGGCCCGGUACUGACGCUGAGGUGCGAAAGCGUGGGGAGCAAACAGG